Molecule: microRNA precursor, 83 nt
Filed under: Mus musculus (house mouse)
Lineage: Eukaryota; Metazoa; Chordata; Mammalia; Rodentia; Muridae
Description: predicted gene, 56197 (ENSMUSG00002075913.1)
Source: RNAcentral
CAUAUGCCAUGGUGUGUAGACCCACAUGCCAUGGUGUGUAGACCCAUAUGCCAUGGUGUGUAGACCCAUAUGCCACGGUGUGU